AAUCAACGCUGGCGGCGUGCCUCAGACAUGCAAGUCGAACGAUUAAAGCUCUCUUCGGAGAGUGUAUAGAGUGGCGCACGGGUGAGUAACACGUAAGUAAUCUACCUUCGAGUGGGGAAUAACACCGAGAAAUCGGUGCUAAUACCGCAUAAUGCAGCGGCAUCGCAAGAUGACAGUUGUUAAAGAUUUAUCGCUUGAAGAGGAGCUUGCGGCAGAUUAGCUAGUUGGUAAGGUAAUGGCUUACCAAGGCUACGAUCUGUAACCGGUCUAAGAGGACGGUCGGUCACACUGACACUGAAUAACGGGUCAGACUCCUACGGGAGGCAGCAGUCGGGAAUUUUGGGCAAUGGGCGAAAGCUGACCCAGCAACGCCGCGUGAAGGAUGAAGUAUUUCGGUAUGU
Molecule: ribosomal RNA, 401 nt
Filed under: uncultured bacterium
Lineage: Bacteria
Description: bacterial SSU rRNA
Rfam family: Bacterial small subunit ribosomal RNA
Source: RNAcentral